AAGCUUGCUUCCUAUGAAAUCGAGUGGGCAAACGGGUGAAGUAACGCGUAAACAACCUGCCCUUCGGAUGGGGAUAACAGCCGGAAAACGGCUGCUAAUACCGAAUACGAUCUUUUCGUCGCAUGACGGAAAAGAAGAAAAAAGGAUGGCUUCUAUACAAAAGCUAUCGCCGAAGGAGGGGUUUGCGUCUGAUUAGCUGGUUGGAGGGUAACGGCCCAACAAGGCGAUGAUCAGUAGCCGGUCUGAGAGGAUGAACGGCCACAUUGGGACUGAGACACGGCCCAGACUCCUACGGGAGGCAGCAGUGGGGAAUCUUCCGCAAUGGACGAAAGUCUGACGGAGCAACGCCGCGUGAGUGAAGAAGGUCUUCGGAUUGUAAAACUCUGUUAUACGGGACGAAAAAGGCGGAUGCCAACAGUAUCCGUCCGUGACGGUACCGUAAGAGAAAGCCACGGCUAACUACGUGCCAGCAGCCGCGGUAAAU
RNAcentral lists this ribosomal RNA (484 nucleotides) under uncultured Megasphaera sp. RNAcentral describes it as "bacterial SSU rRNA". It matches the Rfam family "Bacterial small subunit ribosomal RNA", at positions 76 to 525 of the family's 1533-position model. Lineage: Bacteria; Bacillati; Bacillota; Negativicutes; Veillonellales; Veillonellaceae. The record is from RNAcentral.